GAUGAAGAACGUAGCGAAAUGCGAUAAGUAAUGUGAAUUGCAGAAUUCCGUGAAUCAUCGAAUCUUUGAACGCACAUUGCGCCCCCUGGUAUUCCGGGGGGCAUGCCUGUCCGAGCGUCAUUGCAACCUUCAAGCGCGGCUUGUGUGUUGGGUCUCGUCCCCCGUGGACGGGCCCGAAAGGCAGUGGCGGCGUCCCGACAUGUUGCCCGAGCGUAUGGGAAUCCUCUUCCGCUCGAAUCGGCCCAUGCGGCGCUGGUCGUAACCAAAUUUUUUACCGGUUGACCUCGGAUCAGGUAGGGAUACCCGCUGAACUUAAGCAUAUCAAUAAGCGGAGGA
This 336-nucleotide unclassified non-coding RNA is filed under the name soil metagenome. RNAcentral's name for it is "partial contains 5.8S ribosomal RNA, internal transcribed spacer 2, and large subunit ribosomal RNA". The stretch from base 1 to 120 matches the Rfam family "5.8S ribosomal RNA", at positions 35 to 154 of the family's 154-position model. The record is from RNAcentral.